UUAAGCGAAUAAGCGUACACGGUGGAUGCCCUGGCAGUCAGAGGCGAUGAAGGACGUGCUAAUCUGCGAUAAGCGUCGGUAAGGUGAUAUGAACCGUUAUAACCGGCGAUUUCCGAAUGGGGAAACCCAGUGUGUUUCGACACACUAUCAUUAACUGAAUCCAUAGGUUAAUGAAGCGAACCGGGGGAACUGAAGCAUCUAAGUACCCCGAGGAAAAGAAAUCAACCGAGAUUCCCCCAGUAGCGGCGAGCGAACGGGGAGCAGCCCAGAGCCUGAAUCAGUGUGUGUGUUAGUGGAAGCGUCUGGAAAGGCGCGCGAUACAGGGUGACAGCCCCGUACACAAAAAUGCACAUGCUGUGAGCUCGAUGAGUAGGGCGGGACACGUGGUAUCCUGUCUGAAUAUGGGGGGACCAUCCUCCAAGGCUAAAUACUCCUGACUGACCGAUAGUGAACCAGUACCGUGAGGGAAAGGCGAAAAGAACCCCGGCGAGGGGAGUGAAAAAGAACCUGAAACCGUGUACGUACAAGCAGUGGGAGCACGCUUAGGCGUGUGACUGCGUACCUUUUGUAUAAUGGGUCAGCGACUUAUAUUCUGUAGCAAGGUUAACCGUAUAGGGGAGCCGUAGGGAAACCGAGUCUUAACUGGGCGAAUAAGUUGCAGGGUAUAGACCCGAAACCCGGUGAUCUAGCCAUGGGCAGGUUGAAGGUUGGGUAACACUAACUGGAGGACCGAACCGACUAAUGUUGAAAAAUUAGCGGAUGACUUGUGGCUGGGGGUGAAAGGCCAAUCAAACCGGGAGAUAGCUGGUUCUCCCCGAAAGCUAUUUAGGUAGCGCCUCGUGAACUCAUCUUCGGGGGUAGAGCACUGUUUCGGCUAGGGGGUCAUCCCGACUUACCAACUCGAUGCAAACUGCGAAUACCGAAGAAUGUUAUCACGGGAGACACACGGCGGGUGCUAACGUCCGUCGUGAAGAGGGAAACAACCCAGACCGCCAGCUAAGGUCCCAAAGUCAUGGUUAAGUGGGAAACGAAGUGGGAAGGCUCAGACAGCCAGGAUGUUGGCUUAGAAGCAGCCAUCAUUUAAAGAAAGCGUAAUAGCUCACUGGUCGAGUCGGCCUGCGCGGAAGAUGUAACGGGGCUAAACCAUGCACCGAAGCUGCGGCAGCGACGCUUAUGCGUUGUUGGGUAGGGGAGCGUUCUGUAAGCCUGUGAAGGUGUGCUGUGAGGCAUGCUGGAGGUAUCAGAAGUGCGAAUGCUGACAUAAGUAACGAUAAUGCGGGUGAAAAACCCGCACGCCGGAAGACCAAGGGUUCCUGUCCAACGUUAAUCGGGGCAGGGUGAGUCGACCCCUAAGGCGAGGCUGAAAAGCGUAGUCGAUGGGAAACGGGUUAAUAUUCCCGUACUGGUGGUAACUGCGAUGGGGGAACGGAGAAGGCUAGGUUGUCCGGGCGACGGUCGUCCCGGUUCAAGCAUGUAGGCAGAGUGAUUAGGCAAAUCCGGUCACUUAAUGCUGAGGUGUGAUGACGAGGCACUACGGUGCUGAAGCAACAAAUGCCCUGCUUCCAGGAAAAGCCUCUAAGCAUCAGGUAACAUCAAAUCGUACCCCAAACCGACACAGGUGGUCAGGUAGAGAAUACCAAGGCGCUUGAGAGAACUCGGGUGAAGGAACUAGGCAAAAUGGUGCCGUAACUUCGGGAGAAGGCACGCUGGCGGUAAGUGAAGUCCCUCGCGGACGGAGCCGAAGCCAGUCGAAGAUACCAGCUGGCUGCAACUGUUUAUUAAAAACACAGCACUGUGCAAACACGAAAGUGGACGUAUACGGUGUGACGCCUGCCCGGUGCUGGAAGGUUAAUUGAUGGGGUUAUCCGUAAGGAGAAGCUCUUGAUCGAAGCCCCAGUAAACGGCGGCCGUAACUAUAACGGUCCUAAGGUAGCGAAAUUCCUUGUCGGGUAAGUUCCGACCUGCACGAAUGGCGUAAUGAUGGCCAGGCUGUCUCCACCCGAGACUCAGUGAAAUUGAACUCGCUGUGAAGAUGCAGUGUACCCGCGGCAAGACGGAAAGACCCCGUGAACCUUUACUAUAGCUUGACACUGAACAUUGAGCCUUGAUGUGUAGGAUAGGUGGGAGGCUUUGAAGCGUGGACGCCAGUCUGCAUGGAGUCAACCUUGAAAUACCACCCUUUAAUGUUUGAUGUUCUAACGUUGCCCCAUAAUCUGGGGUGCGGACAGUGUCUGGUGGGUAGUUUGACUGGGGCGGUCUCCUCCCAAAGAGUAACGGAGGAGCACGAAGGUUGGCUAAGCAUGGUCGGACAUCAUGCGGUUAGUGCAAAGGCAUAAGCCAGCUUGACUGCGAGAGUGACGGCUCGAGCAGGUACGAAAGUAGGUCUUAGUGAUCCGGUGGUUCUGAAUGGAAGGGCCAUCGCUCAACGGAUAAAAGGUACUCCGGGGAUAACAGGCUGAUACCGCCCAAGAGUUCAUAUCGACGGCGGUGUUUGGCACCUCGAUGUCGGCUCAUCACAUCCUGGGGCUGAAGUAGGUCCCAAGGGUAUGGCUGUUCGCCAUUUAAAGUGGUACGCGAGCUG
This 2581-nucleotide ribosomal RNA is filed under the name uncultured bacterium. RNAcentral describes it as "bacterial LSU rRNA". It matches the Rfam family "Bacterial large subunit ribosomal RNA", at positions 1 to 2607 of the family's 2925-position model. The record is from RNAcentral.